This is a long non-coding RNA of Diorhabda carinulata, 377 nucleotides long. RefSeq lists it as uncharacterized. The transcript has 2 exons. The record is from RefSeq and is a predicted model, not a curated record. NCBI's taxonomy places the organism in Eukaryota, Metazoa, Arthropoda, Insecta, Coleoptera, Chrysomelidae.
UGCUUUUCUUCGUAAAUAUAACACUGUUAACUACUAAUUUGAGAAUGAAUCAACUUGUAAUUUUUUCCUGCUUACUUGUUGUAAGCAUGGUUGCUGGAGCUCCUUCACGAGCGAAUGUUCGAAAACUUGUAGAUGAUAAGCCAUUCCAGGUUGAAGAUUGUGAAGAUGUAUAUGGUGACUCCUCUGAAGCUACUUGCAGAGCAUUAUUUUCUCGGUAUUAUUGGAGCGUUGAAAAAAAAGACUGUGUCGAGGAUACAAGCGGAUGUGCUAACACUAAAAAUAAUUUCAUAACUAAAGAUGAUUGUUUGAAAGUUGCAAAACCAAUUUGUUUAACAAACUAAAAAUUUUAAAAUAAUAAAUUCGAUUCUAUAAAUCUA